GAUGAACGCUGGCGGCGUGCCUAAUACAUGCAAGUCGAGCGAACAGACGAGGAGCUUGCUCCUCUGACGUUAGCGGCGGACGGGUGAGUAACACGUGGAUAACCUACCUAUAAGACUGGGAUAACUUCGGGAAACCGGAGCUAAUACCGGAUAAUAUAUUGAACCGCAUGGUUCAAUAGUGAAAGACGGUUUUGCUGUCACUUAUAGAUGGAUCCGCGCCGCAUUAGCUAGUUGGUAAGGUAACGGCUUACCAAGGCGACGAUGCGUAGCCGACCUGAGAGGGUGAUAGGCCACACUGGAACGGAGACACGGUCCAGACUCCUACGGGAGGCAGCAGUAGGGAAUCUGCCGCAAUGGGCGAAAGCCUGACGGAGCAACGCCGCGUGAGUGAUGAAGGUCUUCGGAUCGUAAAACUCUGUUAUUAGGGAAGAACAAAUGUGUAAGGAACUAUGCACGGCUUGACGGUACCUAAUCAGAAAGCCACGGCUAACUACGUG
RNAcentral lists this ribosomal RNA (497 nucleotides) under uncultured bacterium. RNAcentral describes it as "partial 16S ribosomal RNA". It matches the Rfam family "Bacterial small subunit ribosomal RNA", at positions 28 to 507 of the family's 1533-position model. The record is from RNAcentral.